RNAcentral lists this ribosomal RNA (499 nucleotides) under uncultured Chloroflexota bacterium. RNAcentral's name for it is "bacterial SSU rRNA". It matches the Rfam family "Bacterial small subunit ribosomal RNA", at positions 383 to 896 of the family's 1533-position model. Lineage: Bacteria; Bacillati; Chloroflexota. The record is from RNAcentral.
CUGAGGCAGCAACACCGCGUGAAGGAUGAAGGCCUUCGGGUCGUAAACUUCUUUUCUGGGGGAAGAGAAAGGACGGUACCCCAGGAAUAAGUCUCGGCUAACUACGUGCCAGCAGCCGCGGUAAAACGUAGGAGGCGAGCGUUAUCCGGAUUUAUUGGGCGUAAAGCGCAUGCAGGCGGUUUCCAAAGUCGGACGUGAAAGCUCCUGGCUCAACUAGGAGAGGCCGUUCGAAACUAGGGGACUUGAGGAUGGUAGAGGUGAGUGGAGUUCCCGGUGUAGUGGUGAAAUGCGUAGAUAUCGGGAGGAACACCAGUGGCGAAGGCGGCUCACUGGGCCAUUCCUGACGCUCAGAUGCGAAAGCUAGGGGAGAGAACGGGAUUAGAAACCCCGGUAUUCCUAGCCGUAAACGAUGUCAACUAGGCGUAGGCGGUUAUUGACCCCGUCUGUGCUGCAGCUAACGCGUUAAGUUGACCGCCUGGGGACUACGGCCGCAAGGCUA